AAACAGGGAUGCGCAUACCUAACAAGUGUGUGUGCACAAGAUGUGAGUGUACUCAGCUGUAUCUGCACACAUUUUUUGUAAUUAAUCUCUCAUUUUAAAUAUAAAAUGGAAAUUUCUGAAGUUAAUGGAUAUGAUAGCUUGCAGUUUCCAUGCAUGGCCUUUCCCAUUAAUUGCUGACAUCAAAUUAGUCACACCAUUAGAAACUGAAGCUGAACCUUGGCUAUUCACAGCCUUGGCCUUCUGACAAAAGAGCCUCAGGAGCUUGUCACAUUGCUUCCAGUUACAGAAAAAUACACAUCUCCUUCCUGACAGAAGAGCUGCAUCCUCAGGAUACUCCUUACAGCUCAAGGCUGAAGGAGGACUGAGUUGCAGACUGCAAUGAACAGCAGUUAUUGAAAUCUGAAAAGCUGAAGAUUGGCGAAAUCCUGGGGGGAAGCUGCAAUGCCAGGACCAAAGGACCAAAAUGGAGGAAAAAUAUCCGUGACUAGAAGAAAGAAGAGGGCAUUCAGUUACACUGAAUUUUGCAACUAUUUGUUCUUCCAUUCCGUUUAAGUAUACAGAAAAAUGGAAAUGCUGCAUCACUGUGUCACUUGCAUGAUCUACUGCUGUUUGUUGAUCCCUCCCUCAGGAAGACACAAAAGGGACCACUAUUCUCAUCACCUCUGCAUCUAUAAAAGAAGUCAGCUGUAUCCCUGAUACUAUCUGAGGUGCUGAUUGCAGAGCACAGUACCAACAGCCUUGCAGGCAGUAUUUCCCACGGUAUCUCAUUUUGGAGAGGAAAAUGGUUCAAGAAGGAUUGUACAGCCAAAGGCACAUUUUGGGAAAUGUAAUGUCUACCUGGAUAGCCUGGAAAUGGAAAAGAAUAAAGACACAAGACAUCUGUUCUGCAGCACCACUAAGGAACGGCAGUAACACGUACCCUGAAAUACUGGAUUCUUGGCCAACUCUUUGUCCCAUGCUUUCAUUUUUAGGCUCUCAGCUUUCCAAAGAACAAUAUGUAUUUUGUGUGGGAAAGCCCGCUCUUUCAAGAAGAAGAAAGGAUCUUAAUUUCAAGUCUUGACAGAUUUUUUCAGCUAACCUUAGAAAAUCUGAAUUAUACCUAUCAUCAAAAUCCACGUCUCCUUCACUGCUUCUGUGGGAUUUGUUUUUGUUUGUUUGUUUGUUUGUUUUUGUUGGUUUAUUUUGUUUAUUUUAUCUUGGUUUUGGUUCUAAGUCAAUUUCUGUCAAUUUCCAGUAUGUCACUGGAUCAUACUGUAGAAGGAACUUGCUGAGAUAAGGAUAGGGUAUAUAUUAAAUGGAGGGUUUGUCUUCAAUGCAAUGGCAAAGGGUUAUAGCUGUAGACCAAGUCUAUCAUAUUUCUUAGUGAGAUGGAAGAUGUAAGGAUUUAAUGUUUAUUGAUUUUUAAAAAGCUCGGGGACUUUGAUUAGCACUGGUUUACUGGCAAUUAGACAUUUAGGCUAGGCUGACUGUGCAAGCUUCUCUCAUAGUUAACAGGAAGGAUCCUUAUGAAGGAGAUUUUCCUUACCUUCUCAGGUAUCUCUUUAAGACAUCUAGGUCAAAUAGGCUGUUUCAAGAGCCAUUCAGGCCCAUUCAACGGUGGAGGGCAUCGGGAAACUUUCUGUGUAUGAAACACUUCAGUAUUUCCUUCAGUCAAAAAAGCUUCAACGUUAAUGUUUUGCAUAUAGAACAUGGUGGUGCAUUUCUCCAAUGUCAGAUAAUCGCAGCUCUCUCUCACACAUCCUGUACAGAUAAUUUCUGAAUAUGUGAUCAGCUAUAUCUGCUAUUUUAGGCUUUCUUCAAUAAAUAUCCAGUUGACAGUUUCACCUGAUCUAUAUACACACAGCUACAAUUUAAAUAAGCACACCUGCAUUUUAUAUUUUGGGUGAUAUCUACAAAAGUGUUGCCCCUAGCUUGUUUUUAGCAGUUUAAAAUUAAAAUUUAUCCAGUGCAAAUCUCCAUAAUUGGCCUGGGGAUUCUUUAAGAUAAGGUUACUGAGAGAACCUUACCUUGGAAUGCUGAACAUGUUGCUUCAUCACAGCUGCUCCUUUAGGUUCAUCAGUACUGUUUCUCAUCCCUGUCUUAGAAGAGCAUCUCAGCAAGUAUCAAGUGUUCGAGGUAUAGUUUCAGGAUCAACAGACUCCCUUUCCUUCAGUAUUUUCUUACAUGGUCAGUCACCUCUGUGAAUAUUCUGGCUACAGAAGACAUUCACUAAUACACUACCCAAAAGCAAAUCCAAAUUCACUCAAAGAGGAUGAGUUUUCAGUGCUG
Molecule: long non-coding RNA, 2268 nt
Organism: Gallus gallus (chicken)
Lineage: Eukaryota; Metazoa; Chordata; Aves; Galliformes; Phasianidae
Source: Ensembl